CGACAAUAAUGCUUAGCACGUUGAAAUUGAGUGGGUCUUCUUUGAGCUUUCUCCUCUCGGUGAUGCAGAUAGCAAUGACAAAGAUGGUCAGGUAUGUCCACUCAACUGCAUAUACAUAUGAUCAGAAAUCCACCCUUGCGUGGAUGUUCAAAAGUGAAUGAUAGUUCAGGGAAGGAGUUGCAGCUCUGCUUGCCUAUAACACGACAAGAAGAUGAAAACAAUGGUUCAACUGACUGGAAGCUUUGAUUCACAGCAUGGCCUUGACAAAACAACAUGGGAACAAAUACUGGCCGGUGAAGAAAUUCACUUGCACGCGCUCGCCAUGUCGGCGGGAGAUGGCACAAUUUAGGAGUUGCUUUAGCCAUGCAGGUUAUUUUUAAAGGCUGCACAAGUUGACUACUAUCACCGCUAUUUUGCAUGCAUCAAAUGGGGAAAGAUGGCUCGUUCUAGACCUGGCUUAAACUGUCAGCGUGUGUUAUGGAAUUAUCGCAUGUGAAAGUUUGAGCCAUAUUCACCUUGAAAGAUCCAAGGUUGGAACAAAUUCCUGCAACGACGCGUCUCCCAUUUUCGCAUAAGCGAAAUGAGAAGGUUGAAGUGGAAUGGUGCCUUGUGGUUUCUGUGAAUCUAGAGGGAGCUGUUGCCCUCUUCUUUAUUUGUCCGUCAAACAUCUGGGAGACUGGGAGGAAGGGUCAAGGCACGGUCAACUCUCACCGUGAUCGUACUGUGAAUGAGCACGAGUGAUGGUGCUUUGACGACUGAAACCAAGAAAAUUCUCUCCAUGAUAUUCUUCUACGUUCUAACUUCUACCUACCUAAGAAACUUGUUACUACUAUCUUCUUGUGUUUAUAGCAAAAGGAAUGAAAGGAUCUAUUCGGAACAUAGAAAUUUUAUGUUGUGGGAUUUUUAUACUAGUAAACAGUUCGGACUGAUUUUCACAAACUGAAGAGGCCCUCAACGAUUGACGGGGGUGACGAUAUAUUUGUAAUGAAAGUAAUUUAUGAAUAAAAAUUUUAUAUAUGUAU
This is a long non-coding RNA of Oryza brachyantha (malo sina), 1022 nucleotides long. RefSeq lists it as uncharacterized. Lineage: Eukaryota; Viridiplantae; Streptophyta; Magnoliopsida; Poales; Poaceae. The record is from RefSeq and is a predicted model, not a curated record. The transcript has 3 exons.